Molecule: long non-coding RNA, 543 nt
Organism: Strongylocentrotus purpuratus (purple sea urchin)
Lineage: Eukaryota; Metazoa; Echinodermata; Echinoidea; Camarodonta; Strongylocentrotidae
Exons: 4
Source: RefSeq, a predicted model, not a curated record
GGUGACUGCAGCAGAAUAAAGAAAGGCUUCUGUCUCGAAGGCAGCUGCGUGAAGAACGAGCAAUUCUCCUCGCCAUAAACGUUUGUGCAGCACUCAAUCGACCACUGAGGAUGGAUAAGCCAUGAUGAUAUUAUUUUUUCGUUAGAGUGUGCAUUAUCAUACAAUAUAAUACUAUUACUAUUUAAAAGAUAUUCAUGGCUACAAAAGCUCCUGGAAAUAGCUUCAUUAAUAUUGGAAGUGCAGUACUGUGUCACAUGUGCCGGACUGCCGGUGUCUAAUUUCAAGCUGAUAAAAAGGUGUUGAUGUUCAUUAUGUAUGUAAUGAUACUUCAGAAUACAUUACAACUUUAUUGUCGAGCUAUGGAGUCGAGAAACAUGCAAUAGAAAAAGUUGUUGUAAUUUAUUCUGAAGUAUCAUUACAGACACUUAAAGAGCGAAAAUUAUAAUGAAAUCGAAAAAUGAUGCAAAAAAGUGCGAUUCAAGUACAUGUUUGUUAUGAAAUUAAAAUUAUUAAUUGAGAACGACCCACCUCUCGACCACCCCC